UCCCUGGUGGCUCAGCGGUAAAGAACCUGCCUGCAAAUGCAGGAGCUGCAGGAGACUCAGGUUCAAUUCCUGGGUUGGGAA
This 81-nucleotide transfer RNA is filed under the name Ovis aries (sheep). It matches the Rfam family "tRNA". Rfam says of the family: Transfer RNA (tRNA) molecules are approximately 80 nucleotides in length. Lineage: Eukaryota; Metazoa; Chordata; Mammalia; Artiodactyla; Bovidae. The record is from Rfam by way of RNAcentral.